RNAcentral lists this ribosomal RNA (1495 nucleotides) under uncultured bacterium. RNAcentral's name for it is "bacterial SSU rRNA". It matches the Rfam family "Bacterial small subunit ribosomal RNA". The record is from RNAcentral.
CACGGAUCCAGAGUUUGAUCAUGGCUCAGGACGAACGCUGGCGGCGUGCCUAAUACAUGCAAGUAGAACGCUGAAGGAGGGAGCUUGCUUCUUCUGGAUGAGUUGCGAACGGGUGAGUAACGCGUAGGUAACCUGCCUGAUAGCGGGGGAUAACUAUUGGAAACGAUAGCUAAUACCGCAUAAGAGGUAAUAACACAUGUUAUUAGUUUAAAAGGGGCAAUUGCUCCACUAUCAGAUGGACCUGCGUUGUAUUAGCUAGUUGGUAAGGUAACGGCUUACCAAGGCGACGAUACAUAGCCGACCUGAGAGGUUGAACGGCCACAUUGGGACUGAGACACGGCCCAGACUCCUACGGGAGGCAGCAGUGGGGGAUAUUGGACAAUGGGGGAAACCCUGAUCCAGCGAUGCCGCGUGAGGGAAGAAGGUUUUCGGAUUGUAAACCUCUGUGAAAGGGGACGAUAAUGACGGUACCCUUUUAGAAAGCCACGGCUAACUACGUGCCAGCAGCCGCGGUAAUACGUAGGUGGCGAGCGUUGUCCGGAAUUACUGGGUGUAAAGGGAGUGUAGGCGGGAGAGCAAGUCAGAAGUGAAAAUUAUGGGCUUAACCCAUAACCUGCUUUUGAAACUGUUCUUCUUGAGUGAAGUAGAGGCAAGCGGAAUUCCUAGUGUAGCGGUGAAAUGCGUAGAUAUUAGGAGGAACACCAGUGGCGAAGGCGGCUUGCUGGGCUUUUACUGACGCUGAGGCUCGAAAGCGUGGGGAGCAAACAGGAUUAGAUACCCUGGUAGUCCACGCCGUAAACGAUGAUUACUAGGUGUGGGGAGUUGAACCUUUCCGUGCCGGAGUUAACACAAUAAGUAAUCCACCUGGGGAGUACGACCGCAAGGUUGAAACUCAAAGGAAUUGACGGGGGCCCGCACAAGCAGUGGAGUAUGUGGUUUAAUUCGAAGCAACGCGAAGAACCUUACCAGGUCUUGGCAUCAAGUGAAGAGUCCAGAGAUGGGCUCGUCCUUCGGGACACGAAGACAGGUGGUGCAUGGUUGUCGUCAGCUCGUGUCGUGAGAUGUUGGGUUAAGUCCCGCAACGAGCGCAACCCUUACUAUUAGUUGCUACGCAAGAGCACUCUAAUAGGACUGCCGUUGACAAAACGGAGGAAGGUGGGGAUGACGUCAAAUCAUCAUGCCCUUUAUGACCUGGGCUACACACGUACUACAAUGGCAUUUAACAAAGAGCAGCAAAACCGCGAGGUGGAGCAAAUCUCCAAAAAAUGUCUCAGUUCAGAUUGCAGGCUGCAACUCGCCUGCAUGAAGUCGGAAUUGCUAGUAAUCGUAGGUCAGAAUACUACGGUGAAUACGUUCCCGGGCCUUGUACACACCGCCCGUCAAACCAUGAGAGUUGGCAACACCCGAAGUCGGUAGUCUAACCGCAAGGAGGACGCCGCCGAAGGUGGGGUUGAUGAUUAGGGUUAAGUCGUAACAAGGUAGCCGUAAGCUUCAC